This 433-nucleotide ribosomal RNA is filed under the name uncultured bacterium. RNAcentral's name for it is "partial 16S ribosomal RNA". It matches the Rfam family "Bacterial small subunit ribosomal RNA", at positions 29 to 507 of the family's 1533-position model. The record is from RNAcentral.
AACGAACGCUGGCGGCAUGCCUAACACAUGCAAGUCGAACGAGACCUUCGGGUCUAGUGGCGCACGGGUGCGUAACGCGUGGGAACCUGCCCUUAGGUUCGGAAUAACUCCCCGAAAGGGGGGCUAAUACCGGGUAAUGUCUUCGGACCAAAGAUUUAUCGCCUUUGGAUGGGCCCGCGUUGGAUUAGCUAGGUGGUAGGGUAAAAGCCUACCAAGGCGACGAUCCAUAGCUGGUCUGAGAGGAUGAUCAGCCACACUGGGACUGAGACACGGCCCAGACUCCUACGGGAGGCAGCAGUGGGGAAUAUUGGACAAUGGGCGAAAGCCUGAUCCAGCAAUGCCGCGUGAGUGAUGAAGGCCUUAGGGUUGUAAAGCUCUUUUACCCGGGAUGAUAAUGACAGUACCGGGAGAAUAAGCUCCGGCUAACUCCGUG